AACUAUAUAGUUUAACUAAAACAUUACAUCUUCAAUGUAAAAAUAAUUUACCAAAAUUUAUAAUUA
RNAcentral lists this transfer RNA (66 nucleotides) under Trigonopteryx hopei. RNAcentral's name for it is "tRNA-Glu". Lineage: Eukaryota; Metazoa; Arthropoda; Insecta; Orthoptera; Trigonopterygidae. The record is from RNAcentral.